UGGGGAAUCUUGCGCAAUGGGCGAAAGCCUGACGCAGCGACGCCGCGUGGGGGAAGAAGGCUUUCGGGUUGUAAACCCCUUUCAGGAGGGACGAAGCUCCUCAGGUUAAUAGCCGAGAGGGUGACGGUACCUCCAGAAGAAGCCCCGGCUAACUACGUGCCAGCAGCCGCGGUAAUACGUAGGGGGCAAGCGUUGUCCGGAUUUAUUGGGCGUAAAGAGCGUGUAGGCGGCCUGGUAGGUCAGUUGUGAAAACUCGAGGCUCAACCUCGAGACGCCGAUUGAAACCAUCAGGCUAGAGUCCGGAAGAGGAGAGUGGAAUUCCCGGUGUAGCGGUGAAAUGCGCAGAUAUCGGGAAGAACACCCGUGGCUAAGGCGGCUCUCUAGUACGGUACUGACGCUGAGACGCGAAAGCGUGGGGAGCGAACAG
Molecule: ribosomal RNA, 427 nt
Filed under: uncultured bacterium
Lineage: Bacteria
Description: bacterial SSU rRNA
Rfam family: Bacterial small subunit ribosomal RNA
Source: RNAcentral